Molecule: ribosomal RNA, 384 nt
Filed under: uncultured bacterium
Lineage: Bacteria
Description: bacterial SSU rRNA
Rfam family: Bacterial small subunit ribosomal RNA
Source: RNAcentral
AUUGAACGCUGGCGGCGUGCCUAACACAUGCAAGUCGAGCGGUAACAGGUGUAGCAAUACAUGCUGACGAGCGGCGGACGGGUGAGUAACGCUUGGGAAUCUGCCUAUUAGUGGGGACAACCCGGGGAAACUCGGCUAAUACCGCAUACGCACUACGGUGGAAAGCCGGGGACCGCAAGGCCUGGCGCUAACAGAUGAGCCCAAGUCGGAUUAGCUAGUUGGUAGGGUAACGGCCACCAAGGCGACGAUCCGUAACUGGUCUGAGAGGACGACCAGUCACACCGGAACUGAGACACGGUCCGGACUCCUACGGGAGGGCAGCAGUGGGGAAUAUUGGACAAAUGGGCGAAAGACCUGAUCCAGCGACGCCGCGUGGGUGAAGAA